Molecule: ribosomal RNA, 236 nt
Filed under: uncultured Pseudomonas sp.
Lineage: Bacteria; Pseudomonadati; Pseudomonadota; Gammaproteobacteria; Pseudomonadales; Pseudomonadaceae
Description: partial 16S ribosomal RNA
Rfam family: Bacterial small subunit ribosomal RNA
Source: RNAcentral
ACUGCCGGUGACAAACCGGAGGAAGGUGGGGAGUGACGUCAAGUCAUCAUGGCCCUUACGGCCUGGGCUACACACGUGCUACAAUGGUCGGUACAAAGGGUUGCCAAGCCGCGAGGUGGAGCUAAUCCCAUAAAACCGAUCAUAGUCCGGAUCGCAGUCUGCAACUCGACUGCGUGAAGUCGGAAUCGCUAGUAAUCGUGAAUCAGAAUGUCACGGUGAAUACGUUCCCGGGCCUU